This is a non-coding RNA of Triticum aestivum (bread wheat), 125 nucleotides long. The record is from Rfam. Lineage: Eukaryota; Viridiplantae; Streptophyta; Magnoliopsida; Poales; Poaceae.
AUAAUACUCCAUCCAUCCGAAAAUACUUGUCAGAGAAAUGGUUAAAAAUGGAUGUAUUUAGAACAAAAAUAUGUCUAAAUACAUCCAAUCCUCCGACAAGUAUUUCCGGAUGGAGGGAGUGGCAU